CACUAAACCAAUGGUUGUAAGUCAAGAACUACCUGUAAAUGUACUACUUACUUCUAACCAUUGCAUUUUCAUCUGUAUGUCGCAGGAGUUUUCCAAUUUUGCAACCUCACAAAGAGCAAGGAUCCCAGAAGGAAGGAACAAGGUAGACUUGACUGAAGUUUGGAAGCAGAAGAAUCCUUGAGAAUCCCCUAUGCAGGUGGUGGAUUAUAGGAUUGCCCCUGGACAAGGAGGAAGGGGAGAUUGUCCUGU
Molecule: long non-coding RNA, 249 nt
Filed under: Pseudonaja textilis
Lineage: Eukaryota; Metazoa; Chordata; Lepidosauria; Squamata; Elapidae
Description: lncRNA (ENSPTXG00000009228.1)
Source: RNAcentral